CGGUGGUGAAGUGGAUUCUAGUUUUAUCUGUAUUAAUCCAUUUCUUCGUGACCGUCAUUUUCCAACAUGUUAAAUUGUGCUACACACUAUGGGACUAUAUUGGCAUUUCAGUUUUUCCUUGUAGAGUAUUUUUGGACAUAAUAACAGACACAAACGAGUUGAAUACAAGAGAAUAUUGAAUAAAUAACCGUUAAAUUGAUCAUAGAAAGACAGAUAAUCAGGUCACGACUCGUCUUCCAUAGAAAAUCGCCCUACAGAACUAUGUGGAGAGGCUGGUUAUCAGUUUUAACCAUUGUACAACUGUUUUAUGGAAUAUUGUCUGUUAUUACAGAAAAUUGCUGUUACAACUCAGAAGAUUAUGAAGCAAUCGACAGUAUUAACACUAAGGCAACAUUUCUCACCAUUGACCUUUAUGACAACUCGACAAAAUGGGAUUUACAGGUCAAUAUAUCUUGGACGCCGGUCGAAGGUUA
Long non-coding RNA from Anneissia japonica, 473 nucleotides. RefSeq lists it as uncharacterized. Lineage: Eukaryota; Metazoa; Echinodermata; Crinoidea; Comatulida; Comatulidae. The record is from RefSeq and is a predicted model, not a curated record. The transcript is spliced from 3 exons.